UACGUAGGUGGCGAGCGUUGUCCGGAAUCACUGGGCGUAAAGGGCGCGUAGGCGGCUAUUCAAGUCGCAUGUGAAAUUCCAGGGCUUAACCUUGGGGGGUCAUGCGAAACUGAGUGGCUUGAGUGCAGUAGAGGAAAGCGGAAUUCCUGGUGUAGCGGUAAAAUGCGUAGAGAUCAGGAGGAACACCGGUGGCGAAGGCGGCUUUCUGGGCUGCAACUGACGCUGAGGCGCGAAAGCGUGGGGAGCAAACAGG
Molecule: ribosomal RNA, 253 nt
Filed under: uncultured bacterium
Lineage: Bacteria
Description: partial 16S ribosomal RNA
Rfam family: Bacterial small subunit ribosomal RNA
Source: RNAcentral